GUGGGGAAUUUUGGACAAUGGGCGCAAGCCUGAUCCAACAAUGCCGCGUGCAGGAAGAAGGCCUUCGGGUUGUAAACUGCUUUUGUACGGAACGAAAAGGCUCUGGUUAAUACCUGGGGCUCAUGACGGUACCGUAAGAAUAAGCACCGGCUAACUACGUGCCAGCAGCCGCGGUAAUACGUAGGGUGCAAGCGUUAAUCGGAAUUACUGGGCGUAAAGCGUGCGCAGGCGGUUUUGUAAGACAGACGUGAAAUCCCCGGGCUCAACCUGGGAAUGGCGUUUGUGACUGCAAAGCUGGAGUGCGGCAGAGGGGGAUGGAAUUCCGCGUGUAGCAGUGAAAUGCGUAGAUAUGCGGAGGAACACCGAUGGCGAAGGCAAUCCCCUGGGCCUGCACUGACGCUCAUGCACGAAAGCGUGGGGAGCAAACAGGAUUAGAUACCCGGGUAGUCC
RNAcentral lists this ribosomal RNA (450 nucleotides) under uncultured bacterium. Its description in RNAcentral is "partial 16S ribosomal RNA". It matches the Rfam family "Bacterial small subunit ribosomal RNA", at positions 354 to 796 of the family's 1533-position model. The record is from RNAcentral.